This 76-nucleotide transfer RNA is filed under the name Candidatus Woesebacteria bacterium. RNAcentral describes it as "tRNA-Ala". It matches the Rfam family "tRNA". Rfam says of the family: Transfer RNA (tRNA) molecules are approximately 80 nucleotides in length. Their secondary structure includes four short double-helical elements and three loops (D, anti-codon, and T loops). The record is from RNAcentral. Lineage: Bacteria; Candidatus Woeseibacteriota.
GGGCCCAAAGUUUAACUGGCUGAACACCUCAUUUGCAAUGAGGAGGUAGUGGGUUCGACCCCCACUGGGUCCACUA